GCUCGAUUCCCCGUCUCCUCCCUUUCUCUCUUCUCUUCCUCCUUCGUUCCCAUUUCACAUUAUCUUAUCCUCGGUUCAAGAAAUCUCCCAACCCGAAAUCUCUGAAGACGGCUAUGUCCAAUGGCGAAGCGGAAUCUUGGAUGCUUUGCUGCUCCGUUUGCUGCCUUCUUCAGUUACCCGCAGGAAGUCUUGAUGCUAAGAACGUAGUGCUUGGUGAAUUCAACCCUCAUUUUCGUCUUCCCUUUCUUCUCUUUUCUAAGUUAUAGUCUUUUUCAAGAGUUUGUUUUUAAGGUUUCUUUAAUUUCUUUUGCUGGUAUGUAUUUCAUCUGAUGAGUUGUUCUUGUGGUUCCUCAAGAAUUCAUUGGAUAUGGAGGUCAAUGGAGGAUAUGAAGUAGGGAACUAGGGAUUUCAUCGGCAGUGGUUCGGGUUUUGAGAACCCAAAUUCUCAAGUUAUAAUAUGUUGGUCACUGCAAAUUAGGGAUUUCUUGGUUACGAUUAGAUUUGUAAAGGUUUUGAAGAAUCUAUCCCCUUCCAAGGACAAUUUCUCAAAUUUCUUGAUUCAUCAAUUUUUUAACUCCUUUUUUAGUUAUUUCUCUUGGGAAAUGAAGGCGCUGAUCUUUCAUGGAUUCCCUUUUCCUCCAUUACUCUGUACUCUUUUCGUUCUUUUUACUCGGAGCAAUAAUAUUAAUAUGACUCGAUAACUUGGAAAAUCUCCCAUCCUAUCCUCCAGACCAAAUUCUUUGUUGUACGGACCUGUCACUUUUUUAAUGUGGCUUUCAUCCGGGCUGACCCGGGUUCAUGAUAACUUAAAGUUCUAUCUUGUUUUCAUUAAAUUUUUUAGCCUCCUUAUUGCAGGAGUUGAAGGAGGCAGCAGAUAUUUUUCUGAUGCCGGUAUUGAAGAAGCCCCUCCUCUUCAACUUCCCCUUAAUGAUGUUCUUAGUGUCAUCAAUAACAGAUCACACUCCCUGCUGCUAUCAAGUGCUACUGCAUUAAUUUCUAUACAGCCUGUUCAGAUUUGGAAGGUAAUGGUGGUGCUACUUUAAUGGGCACAAUGGGGCUUAGGGUAGCUGCUAUGGUUCUGGAUGUCUUUUUGGUCGGGUAAGUGACAACUUACUCAUGUAUAUUAUUAAAGCAUUCUAUAUUUUUAGGGACAAAAUAUUUUUUAUUAUUAAAACUGGCAGAUUUAACAAAAGCCCUGUUGGGUCUGUGCAAUUUAUAAGGGAAUUGAGAAGUGCAGAGUGUGCAAUGAAUGGAGCCAUUAAGAUCUUGACAAUUGCCGUAUUAUUCAACUUCAGAUAUCCGUAUAUUUUCUUUGCUUAAAUAGAAUAAGGUCUUUCAACCCCAAAAGAAAACAUAACUUGGUGACUAUUGUGGUACCAGAACUGCUUAUGUUGGAUGUCACCUUUGCCUCAAUAUAAGCAAAGUUUUACAUCUUGGUAGGAUGGGGGGCAUCUCGGCCAUCUCGUCCUGUUUAUGUAAGAAAACAGGACCAUGAGGGGGUCGAGACUCCGAAAACCAUUCACAUAGAGAGAGAAGAAGAAAGAGGAAAGAAAUGAAGGAAAAAUGAAGAAAAGAAAAAAGUGAAAAGAAAGAAAAAGAAGAAACAUGAAAGAAAAAAAGGAAGGAAGAAGAAAAAGAAAGAAAGGGAAGGAAAGAAGGAAGAAAGGAAAGAGACAAAAGAAGAAAAAGGAAAGAAAAAGAAAGCAAGGGACAAGAAAAAGAAAGAAAAAGGAAAGGAAAGAAAGGAAGAUAGGAGAAAAAGAAAGAAAAAAAGGAAAGAAAAAAAAAUGAAAGAAAGAAAGGAAAGACGAGGGGGGAGAAAAAUAGAGGAUAUCUACCGGGACUACUGCCUAAGUGGGACAGGACAAUUGGAUGUCCCGUUCCAUGGAGAAAUCCCAAGAUUUAAACCUUGGAUAUAAGUACGCAUGCUUUCUUUAGAUUAUGUUUCUCUCUUGCAAUAUGGAUAAUUUAGUUCCCUGUUAUCCUUCCAAGUUCUUGCCUUUGAUUAUUUCAGUCUCACAUACUUAAUGGAAAAGAUCAUGGUGGACAGGGCUCUAGUACAUAUCUUUCCUAAACUUAAAUACGGAUGUUUGCUGGCAUAUAUGCUUGGAUGGUUUUGAAAUGAUUGUCUUACAGCCUUACAGCUGCUUAGGCUUUCAGCAUGUAAAACUAUGGGGUCAGCUACAAGUAUUUGCAGGCGUAAAACUGGCCCCUGAAUUAUGUAUAACCCACGUGUAGUUUCAUGGCCUUUACUAUUUGCUUUUUAAUUAUUUCAAAGUUUAAUCACAAGUAGAUGUAAAAAAUGGGAGUGUGAUAGUUUUGGCUUUUAAUAUGCCAGGUCCAUUUGAAGACGUAGAAGUUCCCAUUUUCUUUGAAAAAGUAUUUGAAAUUAAUUUGUUUUCUAAAUCUUCAAUUGUUCUGCGUUCAUGUUUUACAUGUCCACCAUGGAGGCAUACAUUGGUGGGAGGAAGAUUGAUCCUCUAGAAAAUGUUGAAUUGACAUCUUCUUCGACUGCAUCUUUUUUAGUUGAAGGAAUUGCUCAGAAUACAACUGUUGGUAUAUUUGAGCCAGAGAGUGGCUGAACUAUUGAGGAUACUAGAUCACCUACUGAAAAGGCCAUCCUUUCUGGGGCAGUUAAGCUGGGAUGAAGUUUGAUGAUGCAAGGUUGAUAUCUUCAAAUCUUCAAGUCUUCCCCUUCGAUUCUGAGAAAAAGCAUGGUGGUGCUGCAGUAGAUGUGAUGGAACCAUGGACAUGUGGUUCACUAAUGAUUUGAUAAUAGUUUUGCAUAAUCCGGUGCUACUUGAAUUAUCAGACCAUGCAGCAAUUUCUUCACUAUUCAGAAAACAAUAUUUGCAAAGGAGAUUCUGAAAUUCACUUGCAUUGGAGAGGUGCUGCUGAAAUUGUUCCUGCUGCAUCCAGAGCUGGCCUGAAGCAGCUGGUUUGGCUCAGCCAAUGACUUCAGACAAGGAUCCUUUUUGGCCUGGGGUCAGAGAUGCUGUAGAGAUGCGCUUAUGCAGGUUUCAAGGUGCUUUUCUGAUAACUUGGUAAUGGCAUAACAGACAGCCAAUUUUAGUGUCAUUAUGAGUUACCCAGGGAAUCUUUGACCUCAUUUGACUUUGAUCUCAAAGUCAAGUACGAAACUGGCUUAGCAUAGAUGGUUGAUUGUUUAACUUAUUGGUCAAUCAGUCAUUGAAUGUUUGUUGGCAUGUUAUUGCUAUAACCAAAACUUGUCUUUCAUUAGCAAGGUUCAUAUUGGAGUGAGCAUUAAGAGGCCCUCUUCGAUAAGCUAUGCUAUUAUUAUCUAUUUUAGAAAAUUUUCAACCAUGAAGAAGAGAUGUGUUUUCCAUACAUGUUUUGCAUAAAUAUUAUAAAUUUGAUUUAACAU
Non-coding RNA from Elaeis guineensis (African oil palm), 3385 nucleotides. The record is from RefSeq and is a predicted model, not a curated record. NCBI's taxonomy places the organism in Eukaryota, Viridiplantae, Streptophyta, Magnoliopsida, Arecales, Arecaceae.